UGAGAGAACUCGGGAGAAGGAACUCGGCAAAUUGGUACCGUAACUUCGGGAUAGGGUACGCCCUUGUAGCUUGACUGGCCUGCGCCAGAAGGGUGAGAGGGUUGCAAUAAACUGGUGGCUGCGACUGUUUAAUAAAAACACAGCACUCUGCAAACACGAAAGUGGACGUAUAGGGUGUGACGCCUGCCCGGUGCCGGAAGAUUAAAUGAUGGGGUGCAAGCUCUUGAUUGAAGUCCCGGUAAACGGCGGCCGUAACAAUAACGGUCCUAAGGUAGCGAAAUUCCUUGUCGGGUAAGUUCCGACCUGCACGAAUGGCGUAACGAUGGCCACACUGUCUCCUCCCGAGACUCAGCGAAGUUGAAGUGUUUGUGAUUAUGCAAUCUACCCGCGGCUAGACGGAAAGACCCCAUGAACCUUUACUGUAGCUUUGCAUUGGACUGUGAACCGAUCUGUGUAGGAUAGGUGGGAGGCUAUGAAAGCGGAACGCUAGUUUCGCUGGAGCCGUCCUUGAAAUACCACCCUGGUUUGUUUGCGGUUCUAACCUUGCCCGUGAUCCGGGUCGGGGACAGUGCAUGGUAGGCAGUUUGACUGGGGCGGUCUCCUCCCAAAGUGUAACGGAGGAGUACGAAGGUACGCUAGGUACGGUCGGAAAUCGUGCUGAUAGUGCAAUGGCAUAAGCGUGCUUAACUGCGAGACCGACAAGUCGAGCAGGUGCGAAAGCAGGUCAUAGUGAUCCGGUGGUUCUGUAUGGAAGGGCCAUCGCUCAACGGAUAAAAGGUACUCUGGGGAUAACAGGCUGAUACCGCCCAAGAGUUCAUAUCGACGGCGGUGUUUGGCACCUCGAUGUCGGCUCAUCUCAUCCUGGGGCUGUAGCCGGUCCCAAGGGUAUGGCUGUUCGCCAUUUAAAGAGGUACGUGAGCUGGGUUUAAAACGUCGUGAGACAGUUUGGUCCCUAUCUGCCGUGGGCGUUGGAUAUUUGAAGGGGGCUGCUCCUAGUACGAGAGGACCGGAGUGGACGAACCUCUGGUGUACCGGUUGUCACGCCAGUGGCAUCGCCGGGUAGCUAUGUUCGGAAGAGAUAACCGCUGAAAGCAUCUAAGCGGGAAACUCGCCUUAAGAUGAGAUAUCCCUGGGGCUUCAAGCCCCUUGAAGGGUCGUUCGAGACCAGGACGUUGAUAGGUCAGGUGUGGAAGCGCAGUAAUGCGUUAAGCUAACUGAUACUAAUUGCCCGUAAGGCCUAAA
Molecule: ribosomal RNA, 1242 nt
Filed under: metagenome
Description: bacterial LSU rRNA
Rfam family: Bacterial large subunit ribosomal RNA
Source: RNAcentral